RNAcentral lists this unclassified non-coding RNA (348 nucleotides) under soil metagenome. RNAcentral's name for it is "partial contains 5.8S ribosomal RNA, internal transcribed spacer 2, and large subunit ribosomal RNA". The stretch from base 1 to 120 matches the Rfam family "5.8S ribosomal RNA", at positions 35 to 154 of the family's 154-position model. The record is from RNAcentral.
GAUGAAGAACGCAGCGAAAUGCGAUAAGUAAUGUGAAUUGCAGAAUUCAGUGAAUCAUCGAGUCUUUGAACGCACAUUGCGCCGCCUGGUAUUCCGGGGGGCAUGCCUGUCCGAGCGUCAUUGCUGCCCUCAAGCACGGCUUGUGUGUUGGGCCCCGCCCCCCGGCUCCCGGGGGGCGGGCCCGAAAGGCAGCGGCGGCACCGCGUCCGGUCCUCGAGCGUAUGGGGCUUCGUCACCCGCUCCGUAGGCCCGGCCGGCGCCCGCCGGCGACCCCCCUCAAUCUUUUCAGGUUGACCUCGGAUCAGGUAGGGAUACCCGCUGAACUUAAGCAUAUCAAUAAGCGGAGGA